CUAUGGGCUGAGCGCUAGGCUAGCCACAAGGGAAAUAAUACAGAAAACAGACAUCGUUCUUGCCCUCAUUCUAGAUAUAAAAACAGAGAUUAGUCAAAUCACCCCAUAAAUACACUAAAAUGUCAACUAUGCUACAAAAAAUGUGAAAAAGGACCUAGGUUAUUCUGGGAUGGGGUAGUUGAGGCCAUGUGAGGGAAGGCUGUCCUGAGGAAGUGGCUUCUGAACUUCAGGAAAUGCAGGAGGUAAGAGGUGAAGAGAGGGAGCAAAGGCAGAGAGAAGAGUAUUUGUAAAGACUCUGAGGCAAGAAAGAGCACAGUACUUGAAGAACCCGACGAAGGCCAGGAUUGCUGCCAAGAAGGGGCCUGAGGAGAUGGAGUGGAUUUGUUAGAGAGGGAGGGGUACAAACAUGCAGGAUCUUGUGGGGCAUGCUGAGAAUGGGAGUCUUUGUAAUCAGAGCAAAAUUGGAGGCCAUUGGUGAGGUUUAGAUUACAGUGGAACAAUAUGAUCCCAUUUAUGUCUUGUGGAGAUCACUGGCUGUGCUUUGAGACUUAAGGGGUGUGGAUCAAGAGUCGAGUCAAGGAGACUAGUUGGAUGACUAUCGCCAGAAAGUAGGCAAAAAGUGGCCUUUGUUUGGACCAGGGUGGAAGUUAGGGUUAAGAGAAGUAGAUAGAUUCAAGAGAAAGUGAAACCAAGAGGUCUUGAUGAUGGGUUGUACAAAGGGUGAAGGAGAGAAUUUGUCCAACAUGGAUAGGUUUCCAGUGAGUGCAACUGAAUAGAUGGGGCUGAGAUUUCCUGAAAGAAAACAUCAGGGCAGAGUGUUUGCUGGAAGACACAUACAAUUUGAGGAUUCUUGGACUUCCUCGUGGAUGACUAAUGACCUGGAAAGGCAACACACUGAUUAUAUCACGAUUUCAUUUUUAGAACACAUACUAUAACUACACAUUGGUUAACAGUAUCAAUGAAAUGUUGCUUACCCAUGAGUCUCAUGUUCUUUAUUUUUCUGUAUACCAUAUUAGUUCUUGACAAAGUAUUUCUCCACUCAUGUCUUUCCGAAAACACAUACCGUGUAUUUUGGAGGCAUGGGGUUCUAUAGGAUCCUUUCUCUGUCUACUCAUGAAGAGGAAGACUGUUGUUGUUUCGCCCAUGAGCCCAUCGCUGUCAGCUUUCUCAGGUGGCGUUUUGGAUGUGUCAACAACAAAAUUGUCUUUUUUCUUCUUGUUCUCCCUGUGAAGGCUUAGCUGUUAAUCUUCCUUUGUGUUUCAUAUUUCAUUUCUGUUUUUAAAAGGAUGCCCUGUUAUUGUUCUUCUCUUGGCUGGAUCUGUAUUUACAGGGACCUUUCUUCUUUACUUUCUUUCAGCCUUCAGCAGAAUGAUUUUGGUAACUUGGGACUCCCUUGGGGAAUACAGCCAUUACACUUUCCGUCCUGCUGUGUGGCAACACUGCUUCUGAUGUUUUCACAGGCCCUGGAUAUGGUAGUGCUGGGGGUUUUGUCUUCCCAACUUUUUAAACAUAACACGGAUGCUAUUUCUGGUAUCCAUAGAGGGAGCAGUGGGUUCAUUGGAAGUAUCUCAGGAGGAGCAUUUUUUCUAUAUAGAAAAGAGAGGAUGAGAGAUUCCUUUAAGUUCCAAAAACUGGCAUAAAAUUGAUUAGUUAAAAAAAAGUGCUAUUUGUUCCUGUAUAAUUUAUCUGACCACAGAACCGCAUUCAGCAAAGGGCACCAUGACCUCUUCGGGGAAAUGGAGCAACCUGAACACCUGAUUCAAAUUUUCUGGCCUGAAGGCAACUCCAGUGAGUGACUUCCAACAGAUCCAUAACAACAGCCUGUUUUGAAAAUGUGUUUGCUCCUAACAGUGCAAGGCCCCUUUUUCAACUAAUGAAUCCUUUCAAUGUUUCUGAACUGGGAGGUAGAUGACUUCUGUCUGUGGUGAUGUAUAGAUCGAAGGACAACAGCAGCUCAUUAAGGGAGAAGUAUCAAGAGAAUGAAGAAUACAACUUUAACAAUGGCGAAAGCGGAGUCUCAAACUGCUGACCUUCAGGUGUAUUUUCUUGGGCACUAUCAUGGCCAUGAGAAUGGCCUCACAUCUCUCAUGGCGGGGGCCGUAAUUGACCUACAGCCCCAGCUGCUUUGUUCUGAAAUCCAUCACUUGUUGGCUCUGAGGUCACACUUCCUAUGACUGAGCAAGGCGGAUCCUGGCAGGAGGUGAGACCGUCCCAGAUAAACAAGUAUGCGUCAAGAAACCCACAGGCCAGUCAAGAUGACUGUCAACAAGAGGGAGACAGGGGUUCAACAUGGAGGGGCUACGGCAAGGGGCUUGCCUGCUGUGGGCUGGGAUAGCCCGAGAGGCUGAGCUGGAUGUGGACAGCAGGGGCGCUUCUCCUGGCUCCACUGAGUACGGGAACCUCAGUGCUCAGAGUGUGUGGAUACCCCUCACUCCCACACUCUGGCCAAGGACGGGACAUUGCUUGUCUUGCUUGAGGGCACGGGCUCCCUGUCUCUGCCCAUCGUUAGUGUGGUGACAUCAGGAUCUGAAGGCAGAUGGAUGGCUUUGAUGACAUUUCAAGGUUCCGGCCAUUUCUAACCUUCCAUGAUGGUUGAGAAAUCAC
This is a long non-coding RNA of Equus caballus (horse), 2604 nucleotides long. Lineage: Eukaryota; Metazoa; Chordata; Mammalia; Perissodactyla; Equidae. The record is from Ensembl.